UGUGUGUGUGUGUGUGUGUUCAUAAGUAGUUUUAAACUUUGUGGUCCACAAAACAACAUAACAGUAAAAGAAGAACUGACUGCGUUACAGUCAGUGCGGGAGCCCUGCCUGCCCUGAUAGCAGCUGGGGGAGGACUAUCCUCCGCCUGUGAGCGCUUUGGCACGGGUGAGGUGCCCAAGGCAGCACCCGCUGCUUAUUGAGAGUAAGAGCGAUACGCGCUUUCACGUCAAAAAGUCGUCAUAAAUAAGUCUCUAAUAACGCCAGAAAAAGUCGCCAGAUUUGUCGCUAGUCGCGUUUUAGAAAAAAAUGUUGCUAAGGGGUCUGAAAACUCGCUAAAUAUAGCGACAAAGUCGCUAAGUUGGCAACACUGGUGAUCCGGUGCACGCUUCGUGGUCCCAUAUAUCCCACAAUUCAUAGCGCGGCGGUGGGUGUGGAUAAUUUUGUCACAAAAUACGACAGAAGGGAGCGGCUGAAGAGUGAACUGUCAAAACUUAUCACACAUUUGAUUUCCAUGUGUGACGACUGCAAGUGUCCAGAGUGAGGACAGACUGAGGGACCCACUGCUGUACAUCAUCUGUGAGGCUUUGCACCCCUGAUGAUCCACCAGGACAAACUCAGCAGUGUGUGAGGAAGAGGAGGAGGAAGAGCCAGCAGCAGCUGACAGAUGGAGAGCAUAGACAGACUGUUCCCUGUUUGUGAAGGACUGCUAGGAAAGUUUAAAAUAACUAAUUGUCUGUCCUGAAUCAGUCUUAUUAGGUAAUGUUCAAAAAAUUUGAUCAUUCCAGUGUUUUCAGUGUGGGAGAAAGUACUCGGGGCCUUCAAGUUACACACUAUGAAAGGAAGCAACAAGUUUAAUGUUCAGAAACCUAAAGUAUGUAUCAGCAGCAGAAUGGAGCUAAAAUAAAUGUUUGUUCCAGUAUUUUGGAUUAGUAGCACUGCUGUGUUUGUUGCAUCAUGUUGCUGUAAUUGUUUAUAUGCUUUAUAUAUUCUGAGCUAAGUUGAUCUAUAGUGUUACAUCAUAUUCUAUAAGGAUGUUAUGUGUUUGUAGACUUUCUGCCCAGUUUGACCCAUUUAGCAGAAGUCAGCCUGUUUAAGACUCUGAUAUCUAUUCUGUAUGACUUAAAGCAGUUAUGACAUGGUCUGAUUUUCUC
Long non-coding RNA from Astatotilapia calliptera (eastern happy), 1151 nucleotides. The record is from Ensembl. Lineage: Eukaryota; Metazoa; Chordata; Actinopteri; Cichliformes; Cichlidae.